RNAcentral lists this ribosomal RNA (484 nucleotides) under uncultured bacterium. Its description in RNAcentral is "partial 16S ribosomal RNA". It matches the Rfam family "Bacterial small subunit ribosomal RNA", at positions 30 to 507 of the family's 1533-position model. The record is from RNAcentral.
AUUGAACGCUGGCGGCAGGCCUAACACAUGCAAGUCGAGCGGAUGAAGGGAGCUUGCUCCUGGAUUCAGCGGCGGACGGGUGAGUAAUGCCUAGGAAUCUGCCUGGUAGUGGGGGAUAACGUCCGGAAACGGGCGCUAAUACCGCAUACGUCCUGAGGGAGAAAGUGGGGGAUCUUCGGGCCUCACGCUAUCAGAUGAGCCUAGGUCGGAUUAGCUAGUUGGUGGGGUAAAGGCCUACCAAGGCGACGAUCCGUAACUGGUCUGAGAGGAUGAUCAGUCACACUGGAACUGAGACACGGUCCAGACUCCUACGGGAGGCAGCAGUGGGGAAUAUUGGACAAUGGGCGGAAGCCUGAUCCAGCCAUGCCGCGUGUGUGAAGAAGGUCUUCGGAUUGUAAAGCACUUUAAGUUGGGAGGAAGGGCAGUAAGUUAAUACCUUGCUGUUUUGACGUUACCAACAGAAUAAGCACCGGCUAACUUCGUG